GCCGGGGUGUUGGAACUGGCAGACAAUGGGGACUUAAAAUCCCCCGCUCGUAAGAGCGUGAGGGUUCAAAUCCCUCCCCCGGCA
This 84-nucleotide transfer RNA is filed under the name Omnitrophica WOR_2 bacterium SM23_72. RNAcentral's name for it is "tRNA-Leu". It matches the Rfam family "tRNA". From Rfam's summary of the family: Transfer RNA (tRNA) molecules are approximately 80 nucleotides in length. Lineage: Bacteria; Pseudomonadati; Candidatus Omnitrophota. The record is from RNAcentral.